AUACUAUUGCACAGACCCACCUUCUCUCCUAACCCUCCUCUUUCUCUCUCUCUAGGGAACACAUCUAACCCUAGAAACUCUUCAAAGGCUUUCCCACGCUUCCCUAAUAAGGAGAUCGAAUUAACCUCUUCUUUGUCAACCUCCUUUGCCCAAACUGUCCGAUUCCGGUGGUUCCUCCGUUCGCCGCCGUUCCUCCAUCGAUGGCCAUUUAUAACAACCUUGCAAGCGGAGCCACCGCUUUAAUUGUCUUCUUCACCAACCUCUUCCGCCCACAUGUGGUCGCUCCGCUCUCUGCCACUCGGUCUUUCGUUGCUCCACCCAAGUUUUUCUACACUACUGCUCCCACCGGAAGUCCUGACAGCGUCGCCGCCUGCAACCACCUUGGGGGUUUGAGGCUAAGGCAGUGAAGAAGGGUUUAUAUGUGAGAUUGGACAUGCCUGGGGUUGAGGAAGAGGACGUGGAGGUAUGGCUGGAGUAUGACACCCUUUUUGUCAAAGGUGAAGCCCGGAAAGCAUGGGAGCAAGAAAUCUACGGCAGGUUGUACUGUGGGAGCAGAGAACUUCUGCCCCAAUAGGGGAAGAAGGUUGGUAUUCUUAAGAAGGAUAUGAAGAAUGGUGUCCUAACGAUCGUAAUUAAUUAAUUAAUUCCUGUUUUGAAUAUGUUGUGACAGAUUUAUAUAUGUAUGUAUGUAUGCAUGAAUCUCCACUUCUAUAUUUUGAUUUAGAUGCAUGAAUUUCCACUCAUUGUCUUAUUGAUUUGUAUAUAUGUGUGUAUAGAUGCAUGCAAAUAUGACUUCUCUAGAGUUAAUAUAUGAUAGAGGCUGAUACAGAAGAAUAGUUUAAGGGCAGUAUGGUGCCAUGGUAGUUGCAGCUAAAAUGUCUUGGUUCCUAAAUAUACGAUCCUCUGAAAUAUUAAGAAGGGGAUUGAUAAUAUAUAUUUUACUGAUUCUAGUUGGCCUUAUGAAGAAUAUAUGAGAUCAAUAUGCUGGAAUGGGAGGUUGGUUGUUAGGUUUAGCCUUUUAGGAAGUGAAAUUUAAUCCUAAUCGUUAAGUUAAUUUGUAGCCUUUAUCUCCUCGUGAAUCUAUAAAAUUUAUUGUUAUUGUAGGAGUUAAACUCAUUUUUUGAUCUGGGAAAUGUGUAGGGAUUGCCAAAACGAGUUGUAGGAUUUGAUGAUAAAUACAUGUAUUUGCUAUUAAUGUUGAAUUGGCCUGGGGAUAUAUUGUGCUUUGUGUAGUUUUAUUGAUUGAGAUCAAAUGAUGAUCCUGUUCAUCUUUUGUUGCUUGGUCGCUUUGCUUUUUGGUGUACCGUGUAUUCCUUUUCAUAGUUUGUGGUUUGCUGAGUCUAGACUAGUUCUUAUUUGUCCCUUUAAUGUGACUGUUCUAUGGUUUUUCCUGUUCCUUGUGGCUUGAUUUUGGUAGUGGGAUUUCUUAAUCCCUUUUGUAUUCUGAGCGGAUGCACUCUUUGCCUUUUGUAGUCCGUGCUUUGUUCUUUAAUGAUAUAUCACGUAGGAAAAAGACAAAUGCCAGUCUGUGAAAUUUCGACUCUUCAUGAUAGGCAAUUUAUUGUAGAAUUUUAUUAGUGAUAUGGGAUCAACAUUUUUUUUUUUGACUCACAAUUCGUUUUUUAUACCAUAUGAAGACUUAUUGUUACCUCAUUUGCUAAACAGCAACGGCAUUAUUGUAAUCUGUUACUCAAUACAUAUAUAAGAACACAUUCCGAAUAUUAUUGAUUAUGUUAGCAAUUUGAGUCUGUCAAAAUAAUAAAAUAUAUAUUUUUUAUCAUUAAAUUUGCAUGCUUGACAAAAUCAUGAGUUACACCUCAUUCUAAUGGAAUUGAAUCUGUAGUAAUAUUGUCAAAUGUUCUUGGAACAAAUAUUUGAUGAGAUGAAUCAAUAAAGUCCUCUGCCCGCCAUGUUCACAUCUUGUGUAGAACUCGCAUCCAUAUAUAUUUUUAUUGUCCAUCGAAUUAUUUGGGCCCACUCGUUAUCAAUGGGAUCAGGUAAGCAGUCGCCCUGGCCUGGUCACUGCGACCAACAAUUACUGUUACUUUGUCAAAUUUUCUAGCUCUUUGAAUCAGAUAUACAUGGUCAAUAACAGUAUAUAGGUAUUUUUUUGUUUUUUGUAUGUGUUGUUAUGGUAUAUAUCUUUCAAUGCUGUGAUAAGGUUGUUGAAGUUUAUCCUGUUAAUAAAAGAUGUUAGCUAGUUGUAAUAUAAAAUUUAUUUCCAGAAUCUAGUAGAUUAGAGUGUGCUUAAAAUAGAUAUGUAAUCAAGGAACUUAUAUUUCAGCUAACUCUGUUCUAUUCAUUAUAGUUACUUUCUACAGAAAAGCGACCAAAAAUGUCUGGAUGUGUGUUUAUUGUUUUGUAAAGCCACGCGCUAGUUUGUCACUAAGGCUUAAACUUUUAAAUGCAUGUUCAAAAAAUUAGUUCCCUCUCCGUAUUGCUUCUGAAACUCUUGAUUUACCAUAUGUUGUGAAUGCCCACUAGUGCUUUGAGUAUAUGACCACAUCAGACUAAUUCAUGCUGCAUGCUGUAUCUUGAUAUAUUCCUUUUAUUUCUUCAUUUUGUUCAUAGCUUCAAUUUUUUGGGGCAUUAGAACUCUCUUGCUCAUGACUCUUAAGCUGCAAACACUUUAUUUAAGCCUCUAACGUGCAUGCCAAGGAACAUUGUAGUAAUCAUUUGAACGUAUGAAGUUUGUGUAUGAUCUUCAGAAUAUCAGUGACGCUGGAGAGCUAAUCUAUUUUAUUGUUUUAUCUUUUCUCUUUUGGUAAUUUACUGGAGAACUGGUCUUCAAUAGAACUAGAACAUAAUAUUCCUAUAUAAGAUAACCAUUGAUGCUUCUCGUUCAAAGAAUCUAUAUUUGUUGUAUUUCGAUUUUUUAUUAUGUUUCUAUUGUUUUAGAUCCUUGACAAUGUUUUGGACUAAAAUGAAUUUCAAACUUGAUAAAUAUACCAAUUCAUUUGAUUUUUUAAACUAUUUAACCAUCAUUCAGAUGAUUCUCAGCCAACUUUCUAAGUAUAUAUCCUCCAUGUAAAUAGAGAAUUUGCAUUUCUUGCCUAAGCUCAAACCGCGGCCUGUCUUGGUUAAUUUUUUUAAUUUUGAUUGAAUUUUAGUUCGAGAAUCAUGAGCUGGCUGUUCGCAGGCUAUUGAUCUCACUGGGUAUAAAUAUAUUUAUACCUUAGAAAUAAUUAUGUGAUUUAGAGCUUUGCUGUUGUUUUAUUGAAUAUUUUUUUAAUGGUUUACUUGAAAUAUAGAUCUGGUUCUUUAGUUUUUAGCUAGCUAAAAUAGUUUUAAUUUGUGUAUAUAGUGUUUUCUCUUGUGCAUCUAUAAAUAUAUACAAAGGAAUGCGGAAUCUUGCUGUUGAGUCAUAUUACCUCAUUUUUUUUGGAUGUAGUGACACUAAGUUCUAUUAUCACAGUGGACAGGUGAAACAUCCGUUGUGACUGAAUUUGAUGUCACACUUGUUCCCCUGCUGAUCUAUUUUUUAAUUGAUUAAUUCAAUUGAAGUUCACAAUAACUAACCUCUUCACGACUUCAUACAGCUCUUGGAUGCUGUGGCUUCCGCACAAACUUCUCCCCCACAACCACCGCUUGAGUCUCUCUUUCUCUAGCUGAGCUAACAAACAUUGUAAACCCUCCAUAAACCCUUAUUGAAUCUACUUUCUCUCUCUGCAUCAAUGGCUUCCGGUAGAUCCACCACUGACUUUUUCUGCCCCACCACUCCUACCGGAAGUUCUGAUAGGAUCGCCGCCUGCAACAUCCUUGUGGUUACGAUCGUUCACCUUCUCAAAUGUGUGUAUAUAUAUAAUCCAGAGAAAGCUCUUUUCAUUCACUAACACUAACUCUCUUUACAUAUUGUGUUGUGUUUAACAUUUGUUCGAUUUUUGUAUGUGUUCAGAGGUUGAUUAGUUAAGAAUUCACAUCAUUUUUAUGGUCCAAGAGGGGGGUUUGAGGCUGAGGCAGUGAAGAAGGGUUUGUAUGUGAUAGUGGACAUGCCUGGCGUUGAGGAAGAGGACGUGGAGGUAUCGCUUGAUAACGACACUGUUUUUCGUCAAAGGUGAAGCCCGGAAAGAAUGGGAGCAAGGAAUAUAUGGCAGGUUGUACUGUGGGAGCAUCGAUCUUCUGCCAGAAUCAGGGAAGAAGGUUGGUGUUCUUAAGAAGGAUCUGAAGAAUGGUGUUGUAACAAUGGUCUUGGAAAUGAACCGGUGGACGAUAAUCCACCUCAAGCUUGAAAGUUGUUAGAAGGUUGUUUGCUAUUUUGUAUUUUGACCGUUUUAUGUAUAUUCAUACUUGUGGGGAUGUAAUUAAGUUAGUAUUCAUGGCCUUGUAACUUAAGAACGAACUUAUCUUUUGUUUGAUGUAAAUGAAACUAAUGGAAUUAUGGUAUAUGUUUCCAUACAAUUGUAUCAUGUAACGUUGUAGGACAGGGACUUUAAAUAUUAAUCUUGUAUUUUGGGACUGUAAUUAUGAUAAUUUAGAUUAAUUGGUGUGUGGAUAUUUCACCAUGAGAGGAACUAUGUUGAGGUAUAAUGAA
This is a long non-coding RNA of Cornus florida, 4531 nucleotides long. RefSeq lists it as uncharacterized. The record is from RefSeq and is a predicted model, not a curated record. Lineage: Eukaryota; Viridiplantae; Streptophyta; Magnoliopsida; Cornales; Cornaceae. The transcript has 3 exons.